Molecule: ribosomal RNA, 450 nt
Filed under: uncultured Eurotiomycetes
Lineage: Eukaryota; Fungi; Ascomycota; Eurotiomycetes
Description: SSU rRNA
Rfam family: Eukaryotic small subunit ribosomal RNA
Source: RNAcentral
UGGAGGGCAAGUCUGGUGCCAGCAGCCGCGGUAAUUCCAGCUCCAAUAGCGUAUAUUAAAGUUGUUGCAGUUAAAAAGCUCGUAGUUGAACCUUGGGUCUGGCUGGCCGGUCCGCCUCACCGCGAGUACUGGUCCGGCUGGACCUUUCCUUCUGGGGAACCUCAUGGCCUUCACUGGCUGUGGGGGAAACCAGGACUUUUACUGUGAAAAAAUUAGAGUGUUCAAAGCAGGCCUUUGCUCGAAUACAUUAGCAUGGAAUAAUAGAAUAGGACGUGCGGUUCUAUUUUGUUGGUUUCUAGGACCGCCGUAAUGAUUAAUAGGGAUAGUCGGGGGCGUCAGUAUUCAGCUGUCAGAGGUGAAAUUCUUGGAUUUGCUGAAGACUAACUACUGCGAAANCAUUCGCCAAGGANGUUUUCAUNAAUCAGGGAACGAAAGUUAGGGGAUCGAAGA